Molecule: ribosomal RNA, 303 nt
Filed under: uncultured bacterium
Lineage: Bacteria
Description: partial 16S ribosomal RNA
Rfam family: Bacterial small subunit ribosomal RNA
Source: RNAcentral
AGCAGUAGCCGCGGUAAUACGUAGGUGGCAAGCGUUGUCCGGAAUUAUUGGGCGUAAAGGGCUCGCAGGCGGUUUCUUAAGUCUGAUGUGAAAGCCCCCGGCUCAACCGGGGAGGGUCAUUGGAAACUGGGAAACUUGAGUGCAGAAGAGGAGAGUGGAAUUCCACGUGUAGCAGUGAAAUGCGUAGAGAUGUGGAGGAACACCAGUGGCGAAGGCGACUCUCUGGUCUGUAACUGACGCUGAGGAGCGAAAGCGUGGGGAGCGAACAGGAUUAGAUACCCCUGUAGUCCCUGUCUCUUAUAC